UAGGGAAUCUUCCGCAAUGGGCGAAAGCCUGACGGAGCAACGCCGCGUGAGUGAUGAAGGUCUUCGGAUCGUAAAACUCUGUUAUUAGGGAAGAACAAAUGUGUAAGUAACUAUGCACGUCUUGACGGUACCUAAUCAGAAAGCCACGGCUAACUACGUGCCAGCAGCCGCGGUAAUACGUAGGUGGCAAGCGUUAUCCGGAAUUAUUGGGCGUAAAGCGCGCGUAGGCGGUUUUUUAAGUCUGAUGUGAAAGCCCACGGCUCAACCGUGGAGGGUCAUUGGAAACUGGAAAACUUGAGUGCAGAAGAGGAAAGUGGAAUUCCAUGUGUAGCGGUGAAAUGCGCAGAGAUAUGGAGGAACACCAGUGGCGAAGGCGACUUUCUGGUCUGUAGCUGACGCUGAUGUGCGAAAGCGUGGGGAUCAAACAGG
RNAcentral lists this ribosomal RNA (429 nucleotides) under Actinomycetes bacterium. RNAcentral's name for it is "Actinobacteria bacterium partial 16S ribosomal RNA". It matches the Rfam family "Bacterial small subunit ribosomal RNA", at positions 355 to 776 of the family's 1533-position model. The record is from RNAcentral. Lineage: Bacteria; Bacillati; Actinomycetota; Actinomycetes.